RNAcentral lists this ribosomal RNA (807 nucleotides) under uncultured Clostridia bacterium. RNAcentral describes it as "bacterial SSU rRNA". It matches the Rfam family "Bacterial small subunit ribosomal RNA", at positions 72 to 896 of the family's 1533-position model. The record is from RNAcentral. Lineage: Bacteria; Bacillati; Bacillota; Clostridia.
UUCUUCGGCAAUGAAAAAAAGUGGAUUAGUGGCGGACGGGUGAGUAACGCGUGAGUAACCUGCCUUAGACGACACGGGGAUACGCCUUUGGAAACGAAGAAUAAUACCCUAUGACAUGAUAGCCUCGCAUGAGAUUAUCAUCAAAGAUUUAUCGCUCUAAGAUGGACUUGCGUCUGAUUAGUUAGUUGGUGGGGUGACGGCCCACCAAGACAGCGAUCAGUAGCCGGCUUGAGAGAGUGUACGGCACAUUGGGACUGAGACACGGCCCAGACUCCUACGGGAGGCAGCAGUGGGGAAUUUUGCACAAUGGGGGAAACCCUGAUGCAGCGACGCCGCGUGAUUUAGAAGGCCUUCGGGUUGUAAAAAUCUUUUCUAUGGGAAGAACAUGACAGUACCAUAGGAAUAAGGACCGGCUAAUUACGUGCCAGCAGCCGCGGUAAUACGUAAGGUCCGAGCGUUGUCCGGAAUCAUUGGGCGUAAAGGGUACGUAGGCGGGUAAGCAAGUUAGAAGUGAAAUCCUAUAGCUCAACUAUAGUAAGCUUUUAAAACUGCUCAUCUUGAGGUAUGGAAGGGAAAGUGGAAUUCCUAGUGUAGCGGUGAAAUGCGCAGAUAUUAGGAGGAAUACCGGUGGCGAAGGCGACUUUCUGGCCAUAACCUGACGCUGAGGUACGAAAGCGUGGGUAGCAAACAGGAUUAGAUACCUGGUAGUCCACGCCGUAAACGAUGAGUGUUAGGUGUCUGGAGUAAAUCUGGGUGCCGCAGCUAACGCAUUAAACACUCCGCCUGGGGAGUACGCGCGCAAGCGUG